RNAcentral lists this long non-coding RNA (315 nucleotides) under Malus domestica (apple). Its description in RNAcentral is "long non-coding RNA (MDOM_LNC010135)". The record is from RNAcentral. Lineage: Eukaryota; Viridiplantae; Streptophyta; Magnoliopsida; Rosales; Rosaceae.
UACAAAAAUUGGAAUCUGCCCCAAAAUAGAAAUCCAACCCAAGAGACUUUUUCUCUCUCUCUCCCUCUUCCGCCUCCUUUCAUCUAUCAAAUUUCUGCAACCUCUGCUCUUCUCCAAUGGAGCUGAAUUUUGGACACCCUAUAUUUCUUGAGCAUAUGAACAACUUUCAAGAAGGAACCAUUUCUGUUUGAGCGACGGAAAUUAAAGUGUUGAAGCUCCAAACAUGAUAGUCGGCUUCUUGCAGAUUUCGAAGCUGUUGUGAUGUUUCGAAGAUCUGGAAAUAUUUAACCGUUAGUUCAUCCUGCAUUUUUGAUA